RNAcentral lists this non-coding RNA (45 nucleotides) under Trypanosoma brucei brucei. Lineage: Eukaryota; Euglenozoa; Kinetoplastea; Trypanosomatida; Trypanosomatidae. The record is from RNAcentral.
AUAUAGAUAACUCAGUGUAAUUAAUCCGUGAGACAGUGAUUAUAU